GGGUUAAUAAAGUGAACGUGAGUAUCAAUUCCUCCAGCAGUAACAAUAAAUCCUUCUCCUGCUAAAGCUUCUGUUGCAACUCCAACUAUGAAGUCAACAUCAUCCAUGAUAUCUGGAUUUCCACCUUUACCGAUAGCUAAAAUCUUACCAUCUCUAACUCCGAUAUCAGCUUUAUAAAUUCCUGUGUAAUCUAUAAUUGUUGCACCAGAAAUUAUAAGGUCAGCUACAAGUGGAUUGUUUCUAG
RNAcentral lists this small RNA (244 nucleotides) under uncultured Clostridium sp. RNAcentral describes it as "5' ureB small RNA". It matches the Rfam family "5' ureB small RNA", at positions 18 to 257 of the family's 292-position model. Lineage: Bacteria; Bacillati; Bacillota; Clostridia; Eubacteriales; Clostridiaceae. The record is from RNAcentral.